UUACAGAGGCAGUUUUAUAUU
RNAcentral lists this non-coding RNA (21 nucleotides) under Caenorhabditis elegans. Lineage: Eukaryota; Metazoa; Nematoda; Chromadorea; Rhabditida; Rhabditidae. The record is from RNAcentral.